RNAcentral lists this long non-coding RNA (3136 nucleotides) under Phaseolus vulgaris (common bean). RNAcentral's name for it is "long non-coding RNA (PVUL_LNC000043)". Lineage: Eukaryota; Viridiplantae; Streptophyta; Magnoliopsida; Fabales; Fabaceae. The record is from RNAcentral.
UUUUACUAAUUACCUUGAGGUAGAACCAGAGCAACAAUUACAAUUCCCAGGAAAAAAAAUUGAUUGAAAUGGAAAGUCAUUACAACAGUGUUUUUCAAAGAAAGGUGUUUCUCUGCGUGAUUUAGAAAUACUUGAUCACAGUUCUCAAAUAUACUAGUGUGAGUGUCUAAAUCUUAGUGCAAAUAGUAAUUCUUAUAGUUGUUUAUAGAUGAGAGUAGUAUCAAUGAAAUUUUAAUUUCAUAAUUUCGUUACUUAAUGUACUUAAUGGUGUUUUAAUUUGUUAAUAUAUUACGUUACAAAUUAAAUAAAUGACAAAAUUCAACCAUUUAAUUCCUACAACAUCUUUUUUCAGUUUUUAGAUAUAUUUAGUUUGUUUUUGUCAAACUUACUAUAAUAUUUGAAAUACAAUUAUCCUUAACAUUUAAUGCAUUUAAUACAGUGAACUUUGUUAAUUCAAAAUUAAUAAUUUUCAACUUGAUAACAAUUUUUUAUCAAAAUAAGUACAUUACAUUAUUGGUAAGAUUUUAUGCAAGUUUGGUUAUAAUUAUAUAAAAUCAUUCAAUUUCUACUAAAUUGAAAAAUAAAUAAAAAUUAUUUAUUUAGUGAUUAAGUUAAAUUAUAGUUUAAAAAAUAAAAAAUUAUUGGUAUUUAAAGUGAUUUAUAUUAUUAAUAAAAAUUUAUUAAGUUGUUUGUAAAAGAAAAUACUUUAUAAUCUUUUAUUAAUAAUAAAAAGUACUUUAAAUACUAACAAUUUUUAUAACUUAUAAAAUUAUAUCUAACUUAAUCAAUAUAGUAAUUAAUAAUAUUUAGUUUAUAAAGUUUGUUUUUAAUUACUUAUUUUCUUCUAUUGUAGAUCUCACACAUUUUAAAUCAUUUAUUUAUACUUUAAAAAUUUAUGAUUUAAAAGAUUAAUAUACUUAUUAAUAAUUAAAUUUUAAUUUAGUUUGUAACCUUACAAAAAAAAGAUAAUAUUAUAAUUUUAAAAAAUGACAUUAUAUCAUUACAAAAAUGUUAAUUAAUAUAAUUAAUUUUUAAUUUAAUAUUAUCAAAGACUAUAAAUAAUAUUUCAACAUAAAUAAAGAAUGUAAUUUAUUUAUUUAUUGUAACUCUUAGAUUAUGUUUGUACAAUUAUUUUCCUUUAUAUUUCGACAAUUAUUUCCCUUUCAACCAUAUCAAAACUAAUAGUUUUUUGUCCCUAAAAUUGUUUUUUUUAAUGAUUUUCUUGUAGUGAUUGUUCAUCUUUGUACUACAAUCACUGUUACACAUGACACCGAGAAACGCAUAAUCUCUAAAAUGUAGGAAAUAUGGACAUAUAUCAAUAUAUUAUAUAAUUGUGAAUUAUAUAAAUUCACAAUGUGCACAAGUAUGUUUCAGUUUUUUUUAGCAAAAAAAUGUUUUUCAAUACUGGUUCAAAAGGAUUUGUUUCUUAUUUUUAUAAUCAUACUAAAAAAUUAUACAUUAAGUUUAAGCUUUUAGAAAAUUAAAACAUAUAUCUCAUUUUUAAAAUUGUGUUAGAAUUGUGCUAUAAUUGUCAGAAAUCCAAUAAAUAAUUUUUAAAUUUGACACUUACCGAUAUCUGUCCUGCGAGUAGUAUUGGUAUUCUAUACAUGCCAAUUGUGAAAAUACAUUAGUUAAGUAUAUGGUGAAUAUAUUUUGGACAAUAUCAAAAUAAAAAUAAGAGUAUUUGUACUAAACGUUUCUCCUGCCCCUUCACCUCCUCUGGAUCUCGCACCUCUGAAUGGACCACGGGAACGCAACUUACAAUCGUAGCUCACGAUCUUACCACAGAAUCAAACGAGGGGAGCGCGCCACAGAAUCGAACUAGGGGAGCAAUCCUCGUAUAUCAUAAACCCUAAAGUGUGCUUUCAAUUCAAAAAUUUGUAAUCCCCAAUUCAAAUCACAAUAACCCUAACCCUAGUUCAUUAUUGAAUAAACUAAUGUAACCAUAAUCCACCUCACUUGACACGUCAGUGCCACAUAAGCACCACUUAACGCCAUAAGCUGAGAAUAAACGGAAAGGACCACUUUGAAUACAUUUUAAAGAACUUAGGGACCAAAUUGAUUUUUUAAAAAACCACUAUACUAGAUUGAAUAUUGGCUAGAAAUGUAAGACGAAUAAGGUAAUUAAACCUAUUUUUAAAAUAUUAUUCACUCUAAAACGAGAUUGACUUGUUUGAAUAACAAAUUCAUAUAUCUUAUUUUAAAGUAAUUUAUUGAAGAUAAUAUUAACCAAUUCUCUUUCUAUACAACUAAACAUGAAAAACAUGUAAGUUAAAUAUAAAAUAUAAGAAAAUGACAACAAUUAUGAUUUUUUUAUUACAUUAUAUUUUCUAUCUCAUAUUAUCUAUGAAAUUGUAAUUCUUUUUCUAAUAAUUCCUUAUCUUGCAAAUUUAUUUAUGUUUACUAAUUUUUAACAAAAAUGCUAGCCCAAACUUUUAUUGUUAUUGGAAUAAAAUGAUAAUUAAAAACAUAUCAAUUUUAUUAAAUUUUUAUCAUAAAAUAUGAAUGGAUGCAUUACAAGUUUAAUCCUCACAUUUACAAAAAUAAUAAUAGACUUUUUUGACACAUGUUCCACUCUUAUGGUUUUGUCCCUUGCAACAUAUAUCACAAAAAUCUGCACCAAAACUGCAUUUUAAUGUAUUGCAAUCUGCUGGUGGUGAAUCACUUUGUGUUGUUAGUGGUGCUCCAAUAACGGGUUCUGCAACGAUCACUUCUGUCACAAAGAAACAAGUUCACAUGUUUUGUAAAUAAAUUUAUUUCAUUUAUUAUCUAAGUUUUCAACAUAUAAAAUGGAUANNNNNNNNNNNNNNNNNNNNNNNNNNNNNNNNNNNNNNNNNNNNNNNNNNNNNNNNNNNNNNNNNNNNNNNNNNNNNNNNNNNNNNNNNNNNNNNNNNNNAUAUGUUAUAAACAAACUAAAAUAUGAAAUCAUUUUACUAAUUACCUUGAGGUAGAACCAGAGCAACAAUUACAAUUUCCAGGAAAAAAAAUUGAUUGAAAUGGAAAGUCAUUACAACAGUGUUUUUCAAAGAAAGGUGUUUCUCUGCGUGAUUUAGAAAUACUUGAUCACAGUUCUCAAAUAUACUAGUGUGAGUGUCUAAAUCUUAGUGCAAAUAGUAAUUCUUAUAGUUGUUUCUAG